Molecule: RNA transcript, 2426 nt
Organism: Prunus persica (peach)
Lineage: Eukaryota; Viridiplantae; Streptophyta; Magnoliopsida; Rosales; Rosaceae
Gene name: FT-interacting protein 1
Exons: 1
Source: RefSeq, a predicted model, not a curated record
CCUCUCUUAGAAAGAAAAAAGCUGAGCAGGGUCAGCUCUGCCCAUGCCUAACCCGCUAUCUAUAUUUCCUUAGCCAGGAUUUCUUCAUCAUUCUUCUCAAGGUCCCAUGACAUGAGCAACCUCAAGUUAGGGGUGUUGGUUGUGAGUGCUCAUGACCUUAUUGUGCCCAAAGAUGGGCAGGGCGCAGCCAGUGCAUUUGUGGAGCUCCACUUUGAUAAUCAGACAUUCCAAACCGUCACAAAAGAAAGAGAUGCCAGUCCUGUUUGGGAUCAAAGCUUCUACUUCAACAUCUCUGAUCCAAAACGCCUACCUAACCUCACUCUUGAAGCUCAUGUUUACCACCUUAAAGAAGACAGCUCCAAAUCUUUCCUUGGCAAGGUUUGUGUUCCUGCGAGAUCUUUAUUUGUCCCAUACUCUUUGCAGCACCACCCUCUGCAAAAAAAAGGCAUUUUGUUUAACUCACGUGUGAAAGGAGAGCUUGGUCUGAAAGUUUUUGUUACUGAUGGAGAUGGUCAUGACCUUCCAAUGAACUCUGGGAUGCAUGAUGAGAUUGAGUCUCAACAACCACAGCCUGAACCAGAGUCUAAACCAGAGUCUUCUAAAGAUGAUGACUUGUCAUCGUCUUCGGAUUAUUUGCUGAAGGAGACAAAUCCUUACCUGGGAGGAGGGCAAAUUGUUCAAGGUCGAUUAGUACCUGGGGAUGUCAGCACCUAUGACCUUGUUGAAACAAUGCAUUACCUGUUUGUAUUAAUUGUGAAGGCCCGGCUUGACUUUGCUUUAAAUUCGGAGGAUGUGGCAGGGAGCCUUAAAACUUAUCUUGAAAUAAAAGUUGGGAAUUGCAAUGCAAUUACAAAACAUGUUGAGAGAAAACAGAACCCUGAAUGGAAUGAGGUAUUUGCCUUUGCAAAGGACAACAAUCUGGAGCCAUCUGUAUUGGAUGUUGUGGUCAAAGAUGAUGAUCAAUUUUUUGGGUCUGUGCAUUUUGAUCUCAAGGAAUUUACUACACGAGAUCUAAAUGCUUCAGAUCUACUCCCAAUGAAAACAAGGGAGGGGAAGGAUACAUCAGACACAUAUUGUGUAGCAAAGUAUGGGCACAAAUGGGUUCGUACUCGAACCAUAACUGACAGCCUAAGCCCAAAAUUCAAUGAGCAAUACACCUAGGAUGUAUACGAUCUUCACACAGUUCUCACGGUUUUGGUUUUCGAUAACAGUCGGGUUGGUAACCAUUCAAAUGGAAACAAAGAUGCAAAAUUUGGCAAGGUCCAGAUUCGAAUCUCCACCCUUGAGUCUGGCCGUGUCUACACUUUCUCUUAUCCAUUGAUAUCACUUCGUCCUUUGGGUGUCAAGAAGAUGGGUGAAUUGCACCUUGCAGUUAGAUUUUCACGCACAUCACUGGUUAACAUGAUGUUUCUAUACUCCCAACCCCUUUUGACUGGCAUGCAGCAAGACAUGUUGUAUGACCAAGCUGUGUUGAUGGUGGCAGAUACUCUUGGUCUUGAGAAAGAAGUAGUUCAAUACAUUUCCUCUAAUGCAGAAGAGUCUGAUGUUUGGAGUGUGAGGCGCAGCAAGGCAAACGUUUUCAGGCUUAUGUCAGUUUUCUCAGGGUUGGUUGGUGUUGCACAAUGGUUUGGAGAAGUACGAGUGUGGAAAAAUCCCCUUACGACAUUUCUAGUGCAUGUCCUGUUUGUGAUGAUCAUAAGCUCUCCACAGCUGAUCUUGCCAACUGUUUUCCUCUACAUGUUUGUUACAGGGAUUUGGAAUUUCCAGUAUCGACCAAGAUACCCUGCUCACAUGGACACAAAGCUCUCACAAGCAGAUUUUGUGCUCCCCGAUGAGCUUGACGAAGAACUUCACACACUCCCAACAUCAACAUUACAUCUUCCAGAUGAUAUAGCCUGGAUGAGGUAUGAUCGCUUGAGGAGUAUUGCCGGAAGGUUUCAAAAUAUGAUGGGUGAUGUUGCUACUGAAUUGGAGCGGAUUCAGGAAAUUCUCAGAUGGCCCGAUUCUCACACCAGUGCUGUGUUUGCUACAUUCUGUCUUGUGGCUGCUGUUGUGUUUUAUGUGACACCUUUCCAGGUUGUGGUUCUUGUUGCCGGGUUUUACUACAUGAGGCACCCCAAAUACAGGAGCAAGAUGCCAGUACCAUCAGCCCUGGUUAACUUCUUCCAACGCCUGCCAGCCAAGACAGAUUAUAUGUUGUAAACUGCCCAUACAGAUGUGGUAAAGUUUGUCCUUUACAUCAGCGUAUCGAUUUUCGAUUUGUCAAUCUUUUGUUGUAUAUCUGCUGCUGCAGUGUUCUGUUUAUUGUCUUCUUGUAAGGUUAGAGCAUAUAAACUGUUGCAAUCAUUCUUAAUAGACAGUUUUAUCUAAAAUUUAUUUGCAAAUGUACUCUGAGAAAUGAUCAGAUUUCUUCUAAGUGCCCUAUA